RNAcentral lists this ribosomal RNA (497 nucleotides) under uncultured bacterium. RNAcentral's name for it is "partial 16S ribosomal RNA". It matches the Rfam family "Bacterial small subunit ribosomal RNA", at positions 28 to 507 of the family's 1533-position model. The record is from RNAcentral.
GAUGAACGCUGGCGGCGUGCCUAAUACAUGCAAGUCGAGCGAACGGACGAGAAGCUUGCUUUUCUGAUGUUAUCGGCGGACGGGUGAGUAACACGUGGAUAACCUACCUAUAAGACUGGGAUAACUUCGGGAAACCGGAGCUAAUACCGGAUAAUAUUUUGAACCGCAUGGUUCAAAAGUGAAAGACGGUCUUGCUGUCACUUAUAGAUUGAUCCGCGCUGCAUUAGCUAGUUGGUAAGGUAACGGCUUACCAAGGCAACGAUGCAUAGCCGACCUGAGAGGGUGAUCGGCCACACUGGAACUGAGACACGGUCCAGACUCCUACGGGAGGCAGCAGUAGGGAAUCUUCCGCAAUGGGCGAAUGCCUGACGGAGCAACGCCGCGUGAGUGAUGAAGGUCUUCGGAUCGUAAAACUCUGUUAUUAGGGAAGAACAUAUGUGUAAGUAACUGUGCACAUCUUGACGGUACCUAAUCAGAAAGCCACGGCUAACUACGUG